RNAcentral lists this ribosomal RNA (496 nucleotides) under uncultured Bacteroidota bacterium. RNAcentral describes it as "bacterial SSU rRNA". It matches the Rfam family "Bacterial small subunit ribosomal RNA", at positions 394 to 894 of the family's 1533-position model. The record is from RNAcentral. Lineage: Bacteria; Pseudomonadati; Bacteroidota.
AUGCCGCGUGCAGGAUGACUGCCCUAUGGGUUGUAAACUGCUUUUAUACGGGAAGAAAAACACCUACGUGUAGGUGACUGACGGUACCGUAAGAAUAAGGACCGGCUAACUCCGUGCCAGCAGCCGCGGUAAUACGGAGGGUCCAAGCGUUAUCCGGAAUCAUUGGGUUUAAAGGGUCCGUAGGCGGGCUAUUAAGUCAGGGGUGAAAGUUUGCAGCUCAACUGUAAAAUUGCCUUUGAUACUGGUAGUCUUGAAUUGUAGUGAAGUGGUUAGAAUAUGUGGUGUAGCGGUGAAAUGCAUAGAUAUCACAUAGAAUACCGAUUGCGAAGGCAGAUCACUAACUAUAUAUUGACGCUGAGGGACGAAAGCGUGGGGAGCGAACGGGAUUAGAUACCCCGGUAGUCCACGCCGUAAACGAUGGAUACUAGCUGUUGGAUUUUUUCAGUGGCUAAGCGAAAGUGAUAAGUAUCCCACCUGGGGAGUACGUUCGCAAGAA